GACGAACGCUGGCGGCGUGCUUAACACAUGCAAGUCGAACGAAAAGACCCUGCUUUUGUGGCGUGCUCGAGUGGCGAACGGGUGAGUAACACGUGAGUAACCUGCCCUUGACUUUCUGAUAACUUCACGAAACUCCGGCUAAUACCCGAUAUGAGCUCCUGCUGCGUGUGGGUGGUUGGAAAAUUUCGGCUGUUGGGGAUGGACUCGCGGCUUAUCAGCUUGUUUGUGGGGUAGUGGCUUACCAAGGCUUUGACGGGUAGCCGGCAUGAGAGGGUGAACGGCCACAUUGGGACUGAGAGAGGGAGCAGACGGCAACGGGAGGCAGUAGUGGGGAAUAUUGCACAAUGGGGGGAAGCCUGAUGAAGAAACGCUGCGUGCGGGAUGACGGCCUUCGGGUUGUAAACCGAUUUGGAAUGUGACGAAGCGUGAGUGACGGUAAUGGGUAAAGAAGCACCGGCUAACUACGUG
This 468-nucleotide ribosomal RNA is filed under the name uncultured bacterium. RNAcentral describes it as "partial 16S ribosomal RNA". It matches the Rfam family "Bacterial small subunit ribosomal RNA", at positions 28 to 507 of the family's 1533-position model. The record is from RNAcentral.